GCAACGGCUCUUUUGAGAGCCACCCACAGAACCUUUAAGAGCUUG
Non-coding RNA from Oryzias latipes (Japanese medaka), 45 nucleotides. The record is from Rfam. NCBI's taxonomy places the organism in Eukaryota, Metazoa, Chordata, Actinopteri, Beloniformes, Adrianichthyidae.